UGAGCCAAGUUUAGGGUUUCUUAAAAACCCAAAGAUGUUUGAACUGAAGAGUUUGAUCAUGGCUCAGAUUGAACGCUGGCGGCAGGCCUAACACAUGCAAGUCGAGCGGUAGAGAGAAGCUUGCUUCUCUUGAG
This 134-nucleotide ribosomal RNA is filed under the name Pseudomonas synxantha. Its description in RNAcentral is "partial 16S ribosomal RNA". The stretch from base 41 to 134 matches the Rfam family "Bacterial small subunit ribosomal RNA", at positions 1 to 93 of the family's 1533-position model. The record is from RNAcentral. Lineage: Bacteria; Pseudomonadati; Pseudomonadota; Gammaproteobacteria; Pseudomonadales; Pseudomonadaceae.